This is a long non-coding RNA of Camelus dromedarius (Arabian camel), 491 nucleotides long. RefSeq lists it as uncharacterized. The record is from RefSeq and is a predicted model, not a curated record. The transcript has 3 exons. NCBI's taxonomy places the organism in Eukaryota, Metazoa, Chordata, Mammalia, Artiodactyla, Camelidae.
AGGUCACCCAAAGGCAGAGGAAAAUAUUUACUUUACUAUUUAGAGUAGUUUUCCUUUCUUUAAACAAACUCUCCCUCAAUUCCAUAGCAAAAACUCUCCUCGACACUUCUGGUUUGUGUGGAUUUAUUAGUGAUUUUCCCAGGAAGACACAGCAUCACACAAAGGCACCGACUCUUUUCACCAGAUUAAAUAUAAAAACCCUCAGAACUUCCAUGCCUAAGAAUUUGAGAGUUGAGAGUGUGGGGAGAAAGAAAUGCACCUGCAGAGCAGAAGCUGAAGAGAAUUGCUUUCAACUGAAUCAUUUUGGAUGGCAUCAAACAAAAAGUGGAGAGUAUGACGCAUAUGGAAUUAUCACAAGCCAGCAUCCUUUAGAAGGAAAAAGAAAUACAGCACAUAAUGGAAGGAAAUCUCAUAGAGAUGAACAGAGAAUGAAAGAACUGUUUCUAGAGAUCUGCAACCAAAGUGCCUUUGGCCACUUUGUUCUUCUAAAU